GAGCCGCCCGGUGCCCAUGAUGGAACAACACCACCCUAUAGAAAUGCGUGCCUGCCUCUGCGCUGCGGAGGGUGACGCCUGUCGAAGGACAAUGACCCAACACACCUCCAGGCUGUGUAAAGGCUAUUUGACCAAGAAGGAGAGUGAAGGAUUGCUGCAUCAGAUGACCCGGCCUCCACAAUCACCCGACCUCAACCCAAUUGAGGUUUGGGAUGAGUUAGACCACAGAGUGAAGGAAAAGCAGCCAACAAGUGCUCAGCAUAUGUGGGAUCUCCUUCAAGACUGUUGGAAAAGCAUUCCUCAUGAAGAUGGUUGAGAGAAUGCCAAGAGUGUGCAAAGCUGUCAUCAAGGCAAAGGGGGAAGAAGAAGACUCUUCUUUGAGGAAUAUAAAAUAUCUAAUCUAUUUUGAUUUGUUUCACGCUUUUUUGGUUACUACAUGAUUCCAUAUGUGUUAUUUCAUAGUUUUGAUGUCUUCACUAUUAUUCUACAAUGUAGAAAAUUAGUACAAAAUAAAGAAAAACCCUUGAAUGAGUAGGUGUGUCCAAACUUUUGACUGGUACUGUAUGUUUUGUUUACAUUUACUUUAUUUAAACAGUUUAUAUUUUGGGUUCUGAUGGGGUACGACAGUUGAAAUGAGGCAUUCUUCAAGAACAACGGGUACUACUGAUAACUACUGAUUGCCCCUUUAAUGGCCCAGACUGUUUGGUUAGCAGCUUUAGAACCUCAGAGUUAACAACCGACUAUAUCGGCUGGUGGUGGGGAUGAAAGAAAACAAAUGUACUCAUUAAAAAUAACGUUUUUAAAGAAAACAUUUUGUUCAUCUUUUUUUAAAACUGUUGGCAACUGUUUUGUAAAAGCAAUAAAGCCCUUGAACCCGAA
Long non-coding RNA from Salvelinus fontinalis (brook trout), 879 nucleotides. RefSeq lists it as uncharacterized. The record is from RefSeq and is a predicted model, not a curated record. Lineage: Eukaryota; Metazoa; Chordata; Actinopteri; Salmoniformes; Salmonidae. The transcript is spliced from 2 exons.